Molecule: ribosomal RNA, 583 nt
Filed under: uncultured bacterium
Lineage: Bacteria
Description: bacterial SSU rRNA
Rfam family: Bacterial small subunit ribosomal RNA
Source: RNAcentral
GCUGGCGGCGUGCCUAACACAUGCAAGUCGAACGAGAAAGUGGAGCAAUCCAUGAGUAAAGUGGCGACCGGGUGAGUAACACGUGACUAACCUACCCCCGAGUGGGGAAUAACUCCGGGAAACCGGGGCUAAUACCGCAUAACAUCGCAAGAUCAAAGCAGCAAUGCGCUUGAGGAGGGGGUCGCGGCUGAUUAGCUAGUUGGCGGGGUAACGGCCCACCAAGGCGAAGAUCGGUAUCCGGCCUGAGAGGGCGCACGGACACACUGGAACUGAAACACGGUCCAGACUCCUACGGGAGGCAGCAGUGGGGAAUUUUGCGCAAUGGGGGAAACCCUGACGCAGCAACGCCGCGUGGAGGAUGAAGCCCUUUGGGGCGUAAACUCCUUUCGACUCGGACGAUAAUGACGGUACGAGUGGAAGAAGCACCGGCUAACUCUGUGCCAGCAGCCGCGGUAAUACAGAGGGUGCGAGCGUUGUUCGGAAUUAUUGGGCGUAAAGGGCGCGUANGCGGUGCGGUAAGUCACCUGUGAAAUCUCCUGGCUUAACUGGGAGCCUGCAGGCGAAACUACCGUGCUGGAGUGUG